UUGCAUUCUUGNCCAAAUUAACGGGUNCUAAACAUCAANGGGUGGCGCCACAUACUGUGCGGCAGGCCGAACGUUGCAAAUGAUCGCNACGCACCNGGGGGGAGAAAAUUAUAAAGUGUUNACACUUCCAGGGGGAAAGAAGGGUCUAACCUUAUAUGGAGGGCAAGAUCGAUAUGCAAAUGAUGUGGGUAAUGGUCCUAGGAGGGGUAAAGGCCUUCAAGGAGACCCCACUUGGGUGUGAGGAUGAUCCGCAACAUGGGAUGAGACACGUCCGAUCCUUACCAAUGGGGGCAGUCCCUGAUACUGGCCAACGCUCAAUCCAUGAACCCCCAUGCGUGUAUGAGCAUGAAGCCGAAGGGAUGUAAAGCUCGUUAAUCCGUGAAGAUAAGACGGUACCUCCAGAAUAGCCCCGCUAACUUC
Molecule: ribosomal RNA, 420 nt
Filed under: Pseudomonas aeruginosa
Lineage: Bacteria; Pseudomonadati; Pseudomonadota; Gammaproteobacteria; Pseudomonadales; Pseudomonadaceae
Description: bacterial SSU rRNA
Source: RNAcentral